UUAAAUAAAAAUUAUAUAAUUAGCCUCUCAGCAGCUGAAUUGUCAAGUGUCUGAUCAUUCCAAAAGUUUUGAAACAGGCUGAUAAUGAACCACAAGAUUUCACUUUUAUCUCACUUCAACACGUGUUGGUUCCUCUGUUCAGCUUUCCAUUUUUAGCUUCUAGCUAUUUGGCAUCUCCACAUACAGUUGCAGCUCUUAUGUGGCUGUUAAACCUCUUGUGUUGCCUACUGCGCUAAUAAAGAUGCUUUGCUACAAAAUUUGGUUCAUUAUUGUUCCAUAGCUAAGAUAACAAAAGCUUUUUUUUUUAUGUGCGGUUUAAAAGGAUCCAAUUUUCCAACUGUGAAGGUAAUUAGCUUUGGCUAAUUAGCAACUGCAGGGAUAGUAUUUUUUUUUCUCCCUUUUUAAAGUGUGAAUGUUCUUGGAAGUGUGUCCAGGGAUGUCCAAAGUAUCUGUAUCCAAUUUAGCUGAACAUGUUCAGUGAGUGUCUUGUGAAUGAAGUGUUGGAUAAUUAAAGUCAGUGGUGCAUUUCCUUAAAUGAGCUCCAUUUCAAGCCUGAAACAUUCACAGAGCUGUCUCUGUGAAGGUUCUGGUUGGAUCUAAAGAUUAAUUCCAUCUUUCAUCUCCCGUAGACUCACACCAUUUUCUCCCUGCUGGGCCUCGACCACGCCUACGUCACCAGCAUCGGCCGUCUCAUCGGGGUGGUUUCCCUCAAGGAGCUACGCAAAGCCAUCGAGGGCACUGUGACAGUAAGAGGCGCAAAGCUGCGUCCGCCUCUGGCCAGCUUCCGGAACAGUGUGACCAGCAGGAACAAGACGGAGGCGACAGAGCUCCAUAAGCUGUGGGACCGUCACAAGAGCGUGUCACUGCCAGGAGAACAGCCCACGUCGGAGUCCGACGAGAAGUCCCAGUGAGGGAAAGCUGAGGACAAAUAGGAAGAAGAGGUGCAGGUGGGGGAAGAGGAGGUGGAGGAUGCAUUGAGAUCUUUAAUCUCCAAAGCCACAAACAUGCAAAACUCCUCAGGGCUACAGAUCCACCGUGUUCCAAAUUAUACGCAAAUUGAAUUAAAGAUUAAAUUUCUAAAAUCCUGCAAAGAAAUUCAAGCAUAAUCUAUCCACAAACUCACAAGUUCAAUGGAUGCAAGAAUUGUGCAUGUGAUAUCAAAGAAAGGCUCCUAUGUUAACAUGUUACUCUGUCUGUUAAGAUGUUUUACAUUGAAAUAGCUUUUGAUUUUAGUACAUGUGACCACUUAAUGCUGCACAUUCAAAGGACAGUUUACAGUUCUUCAUAAUACAUCAAAUGUUUAGAAAAUCUGCUGUGCAUAAUAAUUUGGAACAGUGCAUUUUGAGUUUUUUUUUAUUUUUGAAAAAUAUACUGUUCUCAUUGGGAGCUUUGUUCAGUAAAAUUUGAUUUAUACUGUAAUAGUUCAUGACUUGAAAAUUAUACUGACCAUCAUUUGCAUUGACAAUUUAGGAAAAUCUGAGAAAAUAUCACUUGCUUAAUAAUUUGGAAUAAUUUGGUGUAUUGUUAGACUACUGUUAGGCAUGAAUGUGUAACAGCACUGUGUUUUCUGAUUCCUGACAUGACAUAACACUAAAUACCUUCCAUGUCUUCC
Poecilia latipinna (sailfin molly) is the source of this 1612-nucleotide long non-coding RNA. RefSeq lists it as uncharacterized. NCBI's taxonomy places the organism in Eukaryota, Metazoa, Chordata, Actinopteri, Cyprinodontiformes, Poeciliidae. The transcript is spliced from 2 exons. The record is from RefSeq and is a predicted model, not a curated record.